GGAGAUGAGGCUACGGUGGCUCUGGCAUAGGCAGCCCCACUGGUGGCUGCGGUGGGGGCGGCCGGAACCCGGGCGUUGAGGCGCGGCGGCGGCGGCGGCCGAGGCGGCGCUGCCUCAGCCGCUGCAGCGGGCUUCCCUUCCUCUUUAGCGUAGCCAGGAAGUUUGGCGCCCCUGUGCAUGUGUGCGCGUGAGUGUGGGUGUGCGCGGCGAGGUUUGCCUAGCGUUUCUGCAGGCGCUGGGUUUUUUGCCCGCGUCGCUUCCCGUAAGCCAGCCAGCAGCCGCGGAGCUUGGGGCUGUGGCCCGGGGAGGGGGCGCGGCGGCGGGCGCUCUCCUUUUGUUGUUGUUUCCUCUGCCUGGAGAGCUGAAGGGGGACGCGCCUGGGUGGGGCGGCUCGCAGCCCGGGCCUGCUGGCCCCCGGGGCUCCCGGGCGGCAGGGUAGCUAGAGGAGAGCGGGCUUCAACAUGAUGGCGGCCGAGGCGGGCAGUGAGGAAGGCGGCCCUGCGACGGCGGGCCCCGGCGGCGGCGCGGCCACGGGCUCCAGCGCCUACUCGGCAGCGUGCCGGGUCAAGUUACCCGCGGCCCUGCCGGUGGCAGCCGCCCCGUGUCCCGGGCUGGCGGACGCCGACUUGGUUGCGGCCCUCGGUGGCGGAGCCGCGUCGGGGUCCGGGUUCCUGGGGACCGGGCCGGUGGCCGGUGUCUUGGGGGGCGCCGCGCUGACCGGCAGUGCUGCUGCUGGCGUGGCUGGUGCUGCGGCCGCCGGACCUGCGGGAGACGUCGCUUUCACCAAGGGGACUCUGUCUUUGCCUGCUGAGACGCUCGGGCCGGGCGGCGGAUUCCCUCCUCUGCCGCCGCCUCCUCAGCUGCCCCCUUUGGGCUCCGGUUUGGGGACCGUGGAUGAAGGUGACUCCCUGGAUGGACCAGAAUACGAAGAGGAAGAGGUGGCCAUACCGCUGACCGCACCUCCCACUAACCAGUGGUAUCAUGGAAAACUUGAUAGAACUAUAGCAGAAGAACGCCUCAGGCAGGCAGGGAAAUCUGGAAGCUAUCUUAUAAGAGAGAGUGAUCGGAGGCCGGGGUCCUUUGUACUUUCAUUCCUUAGUCAGACAAAUGUUGUCAAUCAUUUUAGGAUUAUUGCUAUGUGUGGUGAUUACUACAUUGGUGGAAGGCGUUUUUCUUCACUCUCAGACCUAAUAGGUUAUUACAGUCACGUUUCUUGUUUACUUAAAGGAGAAAAAUUACUCUAUCCAGUUGCACCACCAGAGCCAGUAGAAGAUAGAAGGCGUGUACGAGCCAUUCUGCCCUACACAAAAGUACCAGACACUGAUGAAAUAAGUUUUUUAAAAGGAGAUAUGUUCAUUGUUCACAAUGAGUUAGAAGAUGGAUGGAUGUGGGUUACCAAUCUAAGAACAGAUGAGCAAGGCCUUAUUGUUGAAGACCUAGUGGAAGAGGUGGGCCGAGAAGAAGAUCCACACGAAGGCAAAAUAUGGUUCCACGGGAAAAUUUCCAAACAAGAAGCUUAUAAUUUAUUAAUGACAGUUGGACAAGUCUGCAGCUUUCUUGUGAGGCCCUCAGAUAAUACUCCUGGAGAUUAUUCUCUGUAUUUUCGGACCAAUGAAAAUAUUCAGCGAUUUAAAAUUUGUCCAACACCUAACAACCAGUUUAUGAUGGGAGGCCGCUAUUAUAACAGUAUCGGGGACAUCAUAGACCAUUAUCGGAAAGAACAGAUUGUUGAAGGCUAUUAUCUUAAGGAACCUGUACCAAUGCAGGAUCAAGGGCAAGUACUGAACGACACUGUGGAUGGGAAGGAGAUCUAUAACACAAUUCGUCGGAAGACAAAGGAUGCUUUUUAUAAAAAUAUUGUUAAAAAAGGUUAUCUUCUGAAGAAGGGUAAAGGAAAACGUUGGAAAAAUUUAUAUUUUAUCUUAGAAGGCAGUGAUGCUCAACUUAUUUAUUUUGAAAGUGAAAAACGAGCUACAAAACCAAAAGGGCUAAUAGACCUUAGUGUGUGUUCUGUCUACGUUGUCCAUGACAGUCUCUUCGGCAGGCCAAACUGUUUUCAGAUAGUAGUUCAGCACUUUAGUGAAGAACAUUACAUCUUUUACUUUGCAGGAGAAACUCCAGAACAAGCAGAGGAUUGGAUGAAAGGUCUGCAAGCAUUUUGCAGUUUACGGAAAAGUAGCCCAGGGACAUCUAAUAAACGCCUUCGUCAGGUCAGCAGCCUUGUUUUACAUAUUGAAGAAGCCCAUAAACUACCAGUAAAACACUUUACUAAUCCAUAUUGUAACAUCUACUUGAAUAGCGUCCAAGUAGCAAAAACUCAUGCAAGGGAGGGGCAAAACCCAGUAUGGUCAGAGGAGUUUGUCUUUGAUGAUCUUCCUCCUGACAUCAAUAGAUUUGAAAUCACACUUAGUAAUAAAACAAAGAAAAGCAAAGAUCCAGAUAUCUUAUUUAUGCGUUGCCAGUUGAGCAGGUUACAGAAAGGACAUGCAACAGAUGAAUGGUUUCUACUAAGUUCCCAUAUACCACUAAAAGGUAUUGAACCAGGAUCUUUGCGUGUUCGAGCACGAUACUCCAUGGAAAAAAUCAUGCCAGAAGAAGAGUACAGUGAAUUUAAAGAGCUUAUACUGCAAAAGGAACUUCAUGUCGUCUAUGCUUUAUCACAUGUAUGUGGACAAGACCGAACACUACUGGCCAGCAUCCUACUAAAGAUAUUUCUUCAUGAAAAGCUUGAAUCAUUGUUGUUAUGCACACUAAAUGACAGAGAGAUAAGUAUGGAAGAUGAAGCCACUACCCUAUUUCGAGCUACAACACUUGCAAGUACCUUGAUGGAGCAGUAUAUGAAAGCUACUGCCACACAGUUUGUUCAUCAUGCUUUGAAAGACUCCAUUUUAAAGAUUAUGGAAAGCAAGCAAUCAUGUGAGUUAAGUCCGUCAAAGUUAGAAAAAAAUGAAGAUGUGAACACUAAUUUAGCACACCUAUUGAGCAUACUUUCAGAGCUUGUGGAGAAAAUAUUCAUGGCUUCAGAAAUACUUCCACCGACACUGAGAUAUAUCUAUGGGUGUUUACAGAAAUCAGUUCAGCAUAAGUGGCCUACAAAUAACACCAUGAGAACAAGAGUCGUUAGUGGUUUUGUUUUUCUUCGCCUUAUCUGCCCUGCUAUCCUGAAUCCACGGAUGUUUAAUAUCAUCUCAGAUUCCCCAUCUCCUAUUGCUGCAAGAACACUGACAUUAGUGGCUAAAUCUGUGCAGAAUUUAGCAAAUCUUGUGGAAUUUGGAGCUAAGGAGCCUUAUAUGGAAGGUGUCAAUCCAUUUAUAAAAAGUAAUAAACAUCGCAUGAUCAUGUUUUUAGAUGAACUUGGGUUUUAUGAUUCCCUUAAAGAAUGUACCUGAACUUCCGGACACUACAGAGCAUUCUAGAACUGACCUGUCUCGUGACUUAGCAGCAUUGCAUGAGAUUUGUGUAGCUCAUUCAGAUGAACUGAGAACACUCAGCAAUGAGCGUGGUGUACAGCAGCACGUACUGAAAAAGCUUCUGGCGAUAACAGAACUGCUUCAACAAAAACAAAACCAGUAUACAAAAACCAAUGACAUCAGGUAGCAGCCUGUGUUCUGCGUGGAUUCAGUAUGCCCACCGUGGUAAUUCACACCAUCAUGUCUCCUUUGCUCUUGCCAAAAAGAAAAAAAUAGAGAAAGAAAAAAAAUAGCACACUUUCCCACAUUCCAGUGAUGUGUGAGCUAUGCAAGCAAAAACCCAAGAUUCUGCUGAAGAGCAACUGCCAGCACCUUUGUAAGCUAUCUGUGCAGAAUAUUGCGCACUUUUUCCACAUGGAAUCUCUACCAAACUCUGAGCCUUGGUGUACCCUUAACAACAACAAAAAUGCUAUGACUGACUGUGUCUUGAACUUUGAAAAUAUAUUUUCAGUAUAUCCAAUUGCCAAAGUUUUGCUGUCUCUUGGAAAAGGAACUAUGAAAUCAACUGACAAGGAAACGCAUUCUAUAGACAACAGAAUUUAACUGGAUCGCAGACAGUUAUUACUGUAAUUUCUUCUUUAUGAACAUGACCAUUUGACUGUUCACUGACUUUCUUUGUAUUUACAGUUUCCAGAGUUUGACAUUAUAAUAGGAACAAUCUUGCUGUAUACUUUUUAAAAAUACUGUGCUAUUCUUUCUGGAACUGUUGAAAGACAAUAUAUAAAAUCGAUGAAUCUAUUGCUCAUCAGCUUUAUUUUUUAAACAUACCACUUAUUUUGUUGGAAUUGUCAAAGACUGUAUUUAGAUCUCAUGCUUUUGUUAAAAUGUUUACAACAGUAAAUAGUUUAAAUUCAAUAAAUAUUAUUGGUCAUUGUACCAAUUAUUGCAUGUUACCCAUUUGACCAUUUUAUAGAUUGCUGAUGUCUUUUAUGUUUAAACGAAGUGCUAGAAUACUUUUGUCACUUCUAAGAUGGUUUUUGUUAUCUUUGAUUAUGCAGAUAACCUAAUCAGCCACUUAACAACUUACACAUCUUUUAAUUUGUACUUGUUUUACCUGCUGGAUAUUUAGUUUGUAUAGUUCAUUUGCUCUUGUGUAUGUAUUUUUGUGUGAAGUAUUCACAAGGGUUAAGUUAAAAUAAACUAAGGGAUAGCUUGCAUAACUGAUUAGCUUACUAUUUAACUUUAUUAUAAUUUUCUUCCCACUAUAGGGAUAGUUCAAGCUUUAAUAUCAGAGCAAAAUCAGGGUUAUUUUUAUUGUUUCUUUCACAAAGGAGUCCAUUUAUUUACUCAAUAUACAACUUGUUAAUUGAAGACCGGAUUUAAAAACAGUAUGUAGCAGAGGAUUCUUAGUGAUCAAAAUAGGUUUGUUGUUUUCUUUUUUUAAAGAACCACCAAGGGAGGUACUAAGGAAGGUAUUAAUAAAGUUUUCUCAAUAAAAAUAUUUUUCUGAAGGCCUA
Mus musculus (house mouse) is the source of this 4927-nucleotide RNA transcript. It is a transcript of the gene named RAS p21 protein activator 1, with no coding region annotated. NCBI's taxonomy places the organism in Eukaryota, Metazoa, Chordata, Mammalia, Rodentia, Muridae. The record is from RefSeq and is marked validated. The transcript has 25 exons.